RNAcentral lists this ribosomal RNA (441 nucleotides) under uncultured Mollicutes bacterium. Its description in RNAcentral is "bacterial SSU rRNA". It matches the Rfam family "Bacterial small subunit ribosomal RNA", at positions 940 to 1382 of the family's 1533-position model. The record is from RNAcentral. Lineage: Bacteria; Bacillati; Mycoplasmatota; Mollicutes.
UGUUGUUUAAUUCGAAGAUACACGUAAGAACCUUUACCAGGUCUUGACAUACCAUUGACAGGCGCAGAGAUGUGCUCUCCUUCGGGCAAUGGAUACAGGUGGUGCAUGGUUGUCGUCAGCUCGUGCCGUGAGGUAUUGGGUUAAGUCCCGCAACGAGCGCAACCCUCAUUGUUAGUUACUACCAUUCAGUUGAGGACUCUAAUGAGACUGCCAACGAUAAGUUGGAGGAAGGUGGGGAUGACGUCAAAUCAUCAUGCCCCUUAUGACCUGGGCUACAAACGUACUACAAUGGCCAAUACAAAGAGAUGCGAAGCGGUGACGUGGAGCGAACCUCAGAAAGUUGGUCUCAGUUCAGAUUGAAGUCUGCAACUCGACUUCAUGAAGGCGGAAUCGCUAGUAAUCGCGGGUCAGCAGACCGCGGUGAAUACGUCCCCGGGUUUU